RNAcentral lists this long non-coding RNA (1045 nucleotides) under Cyanistes caeruleus (blue tit). RNAcentral describes it as "lncRNA (ENSCCEG00000010131.1)". Lineage: Eukaryota; Metazoa; Chordata; Aves; Passeriformes; Paridae. The record is from RNAcentral.
AUACCAGUAUCAUAAAGUCACCCCAGGAAAACAUGUGAGAAAAGUGGCUUACCAGAGUUAAAGGGUCAGUGUCUGUCCUUAUUUGCACACUCUCCAUCUAUCCAUUAUAUUUAUUAUUAGAGUGGUUGCUGAGACAACCAGAGAGGUAUGAGGUCCGUCUAACCUCUUUAAUCAAGGUCUGGCACAGUAUAUAUGGUCCAGGAGAUCCCAAUGAAGCUUUUAAUUUUCACACUCUUUUAAUCUACUUUCUGGGUAUGGACUGAGGGAAGAAUUUCUCAUGCUUCCACAGAGCCAGAAGAACCUCCAUGGUACAAGGGAGCAGUUUGUUUCAAAAUCUCAUAAGAAGCAUGUUACAGAAAUUGCUCACAGAAUGCGAGGAGAACUUCACAUGAGAUAGAGAAGUAAAUUCUCAGUGUUCAAGGGCUUGGGGGGAUAAUAUAGCCUCUCCAAAUUAGACUCUUUGAUAUUGAAAUAGCUUUCAUGUGUGACAGGAGAGAACUAACCAUCUUCCUUCAAAAUAAUUGAUCACUGGCCACUUACUGUUCCAGCUGUCACGAACUGCCCUCUGUUUUGGCUUAAAAACAAAACUUAUCUGGAUUUAGACUGUUGGAGCUUAAAAAAGUAAUGAUCCAGAUCAGUAACCUCUUGGUAUUUCACUGCCAUGGAAGCAUCAUUAGUCAUUCACUGGUGGCAGAUUUUAGAGUUAGCCACAUAAUUUUGGCAUGCUAGUUGCUGCAGAGGACUUCAGGGCUCUUCUGUGGAACAUCAGGGCUGUAGCACACAGUGAUGAUUCACCUAAAACAGCUUUCUGUCAUUCUUAGCUCAUAUUUGGGUAAAACUGGAGCUCAGAGAAAUGUGAAGCAGGUAGAAGUUUCAGUGUCAGUAUUAUAGGAUUGUCAAUGAAGGAGAUUGGGAGUCCCACCUCUUAGCAGACCUAAUCUUGCUGUGACCAGCCUAAGGCAUCCUUCUCCUAGGUGCUGCUAAUAUUUUCCACUGUCUGGGUCUCUCUGCUGAGUCCAUAAAUACUCAAAGUGGCAACAUAAUG